UCCAAUUGUGGCAGAGAACCCCAGGACAGGCUGGCAGGCACUGAGGCGGGGGCCUGGCCGGGUCCCUCCACCCGUGACAGGCAGUAAGGCCAGGGCCAGUGCCGACCCCACUUGCCAGUGAGGAACAGAUCUCUGCAAGGCUGCCAAGCAGGGGACGGAGACCCUCUCCUGUCCUCUGUUUGGUGAUGGCCGAUGCUCAGCCCAGACAAUAGUAAAAGGGAGCUAACAGGUCACUGCUCUUCAUAUCCACCAUCACGGCAGACAUCGCUCAUCAAUCACAGAACUCCUCCCCAUCUGCGCAGUCUGGACUGGUAGCAACGAUGAAGUCUACUGCUGUUCUUGGCCUAAUCCUUGCUAGUCCCUUCUCUCGGGGUCCCGUUCCCCAGAGAUGGAUGACCUGGACCCAAAUCACUGCCACAAGAGCCCACCUGCUACUGAGGCUGCUCCAUAUCCUCUCCGCCCAAAUCUCUGCCAGGCAUACGAGAGUGAGCACAAGCAGGCAGAGCAGCAGGGAG
This is a long non-coding RNA of Canis lupus familiaris (dog), 515 nucleotides long. RefSeq lists it as uncharacterized. NCBI's taxonomy places the organism in Eukaryota, Metazoa, Chordata, Mammalia, Carnivora, Canidae. The transcript is spliced from 3 exons. The record is from RefSeq and is a predicted model, not a curated record.